RNAcentral lists this ribosomal RNA (1481 nucleotides) under uncultured marine bacterium. RNAcentral's name for it is "bacterial SSU rRNA". It matches the Rfam family "Bacterial small subunit ribosomal RNA". The record is from RNAcentral.
GAGUUUGAUCCUGGCUCAGGAUGAACGCUAGCGGCAGGCUUAACACAUGCAAGUCGAGGGGUAACGGGGAAGCUUGCUUCCGCCGACGACCGGCGCACGGGUGCGUAACGCGUAUACAAUCUACCUUAUACUGGGGUAUAGCCUUUAGAAAUGAAGAUUAACCCCCCAUAGUCUCUUAGAGUGGCAUCACUUCUAGAGUAAAGGUUACGGUAUAAGAUGAGUAUGCGUUCUAUUAGUUUGUUGGUGUGGUAACGGCACACCAAGACUACGAUAGAUAGGGGCCCUGAGAGGGGGAUCCCCCACACUGGUACUGAGACACGGACCAGACUCCUACGGGAGGCAGCAGUGAGGAAUAUUGGACAAUGGAGGCAACUCUGAUCCAGCCAUGCCGCGUGCAGGAAGACUGCCCUAUGGGUUGUAAACUGCUUUUAUACAGGAAGAAACACCUCUACGUGUAGAGGCUUGACGGUACUGUAAGAAUAAGGAUCGGCUAACUCCGUGCCAGCAGCCGCGGUAAUACGGAGGAUCCAAGCGUUAUCCGGAAUCAUUGGGUUUAAAGGGUCCGUAGGUGGAUAAUUAAGUCAGAGGUGAAAUCUUGCAGCUCAACUGUAAAAUUGCCUUUGAAACUGGUUAUCUUGAGUUAUUAUGAAGUAGUUAGAAUAUGUAGUGUAGCGGUGAAAUGCAUAGAUAUUACAUAGAAUACCAAUUGCGAAGGCAGAUUACUAAUAAAUCAACUGACACUGAUGGACGAAAGCGUGGGUAGCGAACAGGAUUAGAUACCCUGGUAGUCCACGCCGUAAACGAUGGUUACUAGCUGUUUGGACUUCGGUCUGAGUGGCUAAGCGAAAGUGAUAAGUAACCCACCUGGGGAGUACGUUCGCAAGAAUGAAACUCAAAGGAAUUGACGGGGGCCCGCACAAGCGGUGGAGCAUGUGGUUUAAUUCGAUGAUACGCGAGGAACCUUACCAGGGCUUAAAUGUAAGUUGCAUUAGUUAGAGAUAGCUAUCUCUUCGGACCACUUACAAGGUGCUGCAUGGUUGUCGUCAGCUCGUGCCGUGAGGUGUCAGGUUAAGUCCUAUAACGAGCGCAACCCCUGUUGUUAGUUGCCAGCGGGUCAUGUCGGGAACUCUAGCAAGACUGCCAGUGCAAACUGUGAGGAAGGUGGGGAUGACGUCAAAUCAUCACGGCCCUUACGUCCUGGGCUACACACGUGCUACAAUGGUAGGUACAGAGAGCAGCCACUGCGCGAGCAGGAGCGAAUCUAUAAAACCUAUCACAGUUCGGAUCGGAGUCUGCAACUCGACUCCGUGAAGCUGGAAUCGCUAGUAAUCGGAUAUCAGCCAUGAUCCGGUGAAUACGUUCCCGGGCCUUGUACACACCGCCCGUCAAGCCAUGGAAGUUGGAAGUGCCUGAAGUCCGUCACCGCAAGGAGCGGCCUAGGGUAAAGUCGAUAACUAGGGCUAAGUCGUAACAAGGUAACC